This 95-nucleotide non-coding RNA is filed under the name Alkalitalea saponilacus. RNAcentral's name for it is "TPP sequence". It matches the Rfam family "TPP riboswitch aptamer (THI element)". From Rfam's summary of the family: Vitamin B(1) in its active form thiamin pyrophosphate (TPP) is an essential coenzyme that is synthesised by coupling of pyrimidine and thiazole moieties in bacteria. Lineage: Bacteria; Pseudomonadati; Bacteroidota; Bacteroidia; Marinilabiliales; Marinilabiliaceae. The record is from Rfam by way of RNAcentral.
UUUCCUACAAUGGGGUGCCUUAAUACAAAGGGCUGAGAUCAUACCCUCUGAACCUGACCGGGUAAUGCCGGUAAGGGAAAGUAUAUCUCCUAAUA